CGAGCGGCGCCAUUUUGUGGAGCGGCGGGCCGGCGGGAGGAGCGGCGGCGGCGGCGGCGGCGGCGGACGAUGGCCCAGGCCCAGGCGCGGGCGCACGCCUUCCCGAGCCACCGCAAGCGCAAGCAGCAGGAGGAGGGGGCGGCGGGCCCGGGGGCCGGGGCCGAGGCCGAGCUGCUGGUCUUCGGCUACGCCUGCAAGCUGUUCCGCGAGGAUGACCGGGCGCGCUUUCUGGAGCAGGGCCGCCACCUCAUCCCCUGGAUGGGAGACCCGGGGCUGCUGAUCGACAGGUACGAUUGCCGGGGUCACUUACACGACCUCUCAGAAUGUGAUGCUGAGUACACUUGGAACCGAGAUUAUCAGUUGUCAGAGGAAGAGGCGAGGAUUGAUGCCCUUUGCGAUGAAGAGAGGUAUUUAGCCUUGCAUACGGACUUGCUUGAGGAGGAGGCAAGGCAAGAGGAGGAAUAUAGACGUCUGAGUGAGGCUUUAGCAGAGGAUGGCAUCUAUAAUGCAGUUGGCUUUGCUUAUAACAGUGAUUACUAUGACCCAUCGCAACCAACAGAAGAGGAAGAGCUUGCUAAAACUGAUGCUGAGGGUGAUGAUAAUACAGAAGAGAAUGAGGAGCCAUACACUGCUCCCACUGGGCUGCUUGUCCCUUCUGAUGUAGAAGUUCCCGGAACAUCCAAGAUGCACGCCAUCAUUGAACGCACAGCAAAGUUUGUCUGUAAGCAGGGAACACCGUUUGAAAUCAUGCUUAAAGCUAAACAAGCCCGGAAUUCUCAGUUUGACUUUCUGCGCUUUGAUCACUACCUGAAUCCAUACUAUAAGCACAUUCUCAAGACCAUGAAGGAAGGGAAAUAUAUCGCUCAAACAGAAAAAAAAGUAGAGGAAAAAAGGAAAUCUGUAACAGAAUCGGGUGAAGAUGAUGAUGAUGACAAUGAUGGCUCUUACCUCCAUCCGAGUCUUUUUGCUUCUAAAAGUAACUCCAGAUUGGAAGAACUAACCAGGCCUCUGAAAGUACUGGAUCCAGACCAUCCACUUGCAGCUCUGGUGCGGAAGGUACAAGCUGAUGCCAAAAAUGAACAAAAGCAGCAAGAAUCUAACAGCUCAGAGACGGUAGCAACAACUGGAGAAUGCACCUCAGAUUCAUCGGUGACAACCAUGUAUUAUGGAUAUUACAUGAUGCCCGAUGGUACAUAUUGCCUAACACCACCCCCACCAGGAAUGGAAGUUGCUGGCUAUUAUAGUGGUUUGCCUUCAGAAAUGGCUACACCAACUACAACGGGGACAUCAGCAACUACGGCAUCUGCAACCACACCUCCUCCACCUCCAGAAGGAGACAGCAGUAAUAGCCAGAGCACCUCUACUACAACCACAAUCAGUGCUACAACUGUGGUUCCUGUUAUUAUUCCUCCUCCCCCUGAUAUCCAACCAGUUAUUGACAAACUGGCAGAGUACGUAGCUAGAAAUGGGACUAAGUUUGAAACCAGUGUAAGAGACAAGAAUGAUACAAGGUUUGAGUUUCUGCAGCCUUGGCAUCAGUACAAUGCUUAUUAUGAGUUCAAGAAGCAAUACUUCUCUCAAAAAGAAGGUUACAGUGUUCAACAGGAAAUUGCAGCACCAAGUACUGUCGCUGUAUGUUCCGAAAGCAAUACUUCAGAGGUAUUGCAAUUUGAAGUACAGCAGGAGGUGACUAGUACAAGUGUAUCCAAUGCGAUGAUAACACAAACAGACUGUACCAGUUCUGCAGAUAAAUCCAUUAAUGAUGGAAAAUUAAUAAAAGCAUCUUUUGCACCAAUAAGUUUUGCAAUUAAGGCAAAAGAAAAUGACAUGCUUCCGCUGGAGAAAAAGCGAGUAAAGUUAGAUGAUGACAGUGAUGAGGACCAAGAUGUACAAGAAGCUAUCAACAAUGAAGCAAACAAAGAUAUACCUCCCUCCCUCCCUCCAGAGGAAAAGAAACCUCAGCUUACAGCAGAGGAAAUUGAGGCAAAACACGCUAAACAGAAGCUGGAGGACAGACUGGCAGCAGCCGCAAGGGAGAAGCUUGCACAGGCUUCAAAAGAAUGCAAGGAAAGGCAGCUGCAGGCAGAACGCAAAAAGAGAGCUGCGCUUUUCUUACAAACCUUGAAAACUCCCAUGCCUUCUGGAGAAUUGGAAACUGUGGCCACUGAAGAAACUUCCCAGAACAUGCAGGUUACUAGUGAAAUUUCAUAUAACGUUGCUCCAGCUACUGAAUUGAAAGCAUCUCGCCACAUCUCAACAAAAAGCGAAAGAAUUUCAAAAGAGAAAGAAAAAGAAAAGAAGAAAGAGAAGAAGCACAGAAAGAGGUCACGGUCAAGAUCUCGGUCACGUCCCAGAUAUCGCAUGAGAUCGAGGUCCAGGUCAAGAUCCAGGUCAAGGUCAAGGUCGCGGUCAAAAGCAAAACAUUCUCUGCCCAGUGCCUAUAGAAGUGUCAGACAUUCAAGAUCAAGAUCACCUCAUGGGAGAAGAAUUCAGUCAUCAGAAAGACGACGCGAGGAGAGAGAGAGAGACCGAAAUGUUCCUACAGCCUAUCGUGUUGGUAACAGCUCCGAUAUAGGUGGCAGAAAGCGAUCACGGUCUCCAUAUGAAAAGAAGAAGAAAAAGAGUUCAAAAUCUCACCCUAAGUUAAAAGAGAAACCUUUACGUUCACGCUCACGGUCUUUAUCACCAAAAAAGUCAAGUAUGAAGUCUUCUACAAGAAGUUCAGCACACUCUACUAGCUUGUCACCAGCAGAAAGCAGAGAUUCCAGUCAGGAUCAUUCAAGGGAGAACCUAGAAAGAAAGAAUGAGAACUUGGAAACAAACUGUAGAAGAUUGGAUGUCAGGCCUCGACACAGAGAGAUUCAGGAGUGCCAACCUGUACACCACCAGACAUGCCAUGAGUGAGCCCAGGGAGUCCUCAUCAUUAUGGGAAAAAUAUAUAUAAAAGCUCAAGAAGCACUCCCAGAGGGUUGACCAUGAUGGGUCUAGGGAACAAAGCAGGUCUAGGGCUUUACUUGAGAAGUCCUCUGUGCCAUUUCUGUCAACUAACACUGGUACAGUGGACUCCAAGACAAUUCUUAAGUCACUGGUCUAACCUCAACAUAUAGGGUUCAUCCUUCCCACACUGGCUGGUGUCAGUGCAUUCUCAAAACGUACUCAACCAUUUGUUUCUUUUGACAAUUUAUGUUAAGACCAAUUUUAAUCAGCAGAGUCAAGGAAAGUAACUAAAGUCAAAUAAAACAACCUCAACAUGGUUUAGCAUCAAGGUAAAUUGGGACCCUGCUGUCUUGGAUCAGUGAGUGAACUGAUACGCAUAAUUCCUAAACUGCUUUUGGUAUGAUUUGCCUUGUCAAGAAAAAGAGUAGCCUUAGCUGCUAAAUUCCUCCUCAAUGCUUUAAUGACUUUGGUGGAGUCUAACUGAGAGGAUUUUGCCAUAUAAACUCCAAUCCUUACAGAACCAGGAUCUAAGAUCAUGUAACAGGGUUGAAUGAGCAUUCCCUUUGAAUGCCCCACUGUUAAAGUGCCCAGCUCACCUGGCAUGUCUCAUUGAGACCUACCUUGUGAAUUCCAUUUCUUGAUGUUACACACCAGGAUAGUCUUUGGAAAGGGAUAUUUGUGGACUCUUCCUUACUACUUUUAGCAGCUUGAGGUGUUUUUAAGUUAGUGGGAGCAUUGUUUUGAGCUUGAUGUUCUUGGGCAAUAUGGUACUCCUAGAGGUGGUCCUCAAUGCCAACUUGGGGAAUUGCAGUCUUAGGUUGGAAAAACUUAAGCUAAUGAAUUACAAUGGCUAUCAGUUUAUCCUGACUUAUUAAAUUGUACUGAAAUCCUUGGUAGAGUUCCAGAUACCAGUGAGGUUAAGGAAGGCAACUACACAGAAUAAGAACCAUGUUGCACAGGUGCAAGGCCAAGGUUUGAAUAGAUGGAAGGUUGCAGUGUCUCCCACUGGGCCCUUUGGAUGAGAAUAGAUGGAUACCAUACAUCAUCUGCUAAAUUUGUUCUCAAAAGUUACUGGAUCAGAAUGAAACCCUCGAAGAAUUCAGUUUAUAUAAUUGUGCACUGUUAGACAUGACUUGGUAUUGAGCCAGCAGGUGCAGUUCUCAGUUUGAAGGUGGCAAUGAAUUGUUUUCAUAAUAUUGAUCCACCUUGGUUAAGCCUCCAGAUGUAUCAUAUGGUGGUAGUGACCUGAAGUUAACAACAGCACUGUUUGACAUGCAGUCCUGAAGCUAAAUCUUCUCUCAAGCUUGCCGUCUUGCUCAAAUGAUGAUUCCAUUGUAAAAUUGAACCUUGCAUUGUAGGUCACUGGACCGUUUCCCAGUACAGGUGGCAUGCAGACUGGGCACUGUUAGCCAAAUGAUUGGAGCUUCUUGUUUCUGACUGGUAUUGGCUACCAUUAGGAGAGCUAAUUGAUAGAUUUCCAUUAAGAGUCUUCUGUCAGAACAUUUUAGUUUGGAUACCAAAAUCAUCAGAUUGAGGUAGCCUUCUCCGUUUAGCUUAAGAGCACAGUGUUUAUCUGCCAAAACAAGUUGUAUCUACAGAAGUGCUUGCAGGGAUAAAAUCCAUUUUCUCAAGCGGAAGUGGAUCUUUUGGUAACUGUUUUACUGACUGUUGCAUGGCUCUUGCUUGAGAACAGCAACCUUUCAAGAGUCUUCCCUUUUAAAGGAGAAAGGUUUAAGAGUUUUUUUUACCCAGUACUAUUCUUUCCCUCCCACCCUUUUUUGUCUUGGUUAUGUUAGAAAGAGCAAGAAGAGAAGCUGCAAUGAUUUUCUACCGAUCACAAGAUCAGAUUCUAACUCCAGUUCGAACAACUCCUGCAUUUUAUUUUUCCAGUGACAGAGAUCAGUCCUCUAAAUUGAGAUGAGUUCUACAUCCUUUGGUGGUAGUACACAUAUUAGAAAAGAGCAACACAAAGCACAUCUCUUGAUGUGGAAGUUAUAAUGGCCUUCAGCUGAGAAUGGUGACCCCACUCACAAUAUUCCCAUUAUUAGGGAAUGUUUAACUUCGCAGAAUCAAAGCUGCUUCCAUACCAGCAUAAACAGCUGCAGUGGAAAUUUCUUUUUAUCUUCCACCCAUUCAUUGAGGGACUAUUCAUUUAAUUUACAUUUUAUGAAAAGAGAAUUGGAAAACAGGCUACCCCACAGAUCUAUGUUUGUGGCCAGAACCCUGGUUUGAGGCUGGAAAAAUUGCUGCACUCAUGUUUUGAAUCAUGGAAUUAUUUACACAUGAGGAAUGGAAAUGUAGAACUCAGAGGUACACAGGAACCAGAACUUUUCUGAAUUCUUUUGAUACAGCCUGAAUUAUUCUGAAGAUACUUUGCAGGUUUAUUCUCCUCCAUUCCCUUUUCCCAAUUUAAGGGUAGCUUUUUAUGGUCAUUGUCUACUCUGAGCGUCACUGGUUAAUUGUUUCUGAAAUACAUUUUAAACAUUGUUGUCUCUGCAGUGGAGGGGAACCUGUUUUUGAGGGUUAGAGAGCACCCACCAGAUCUAAAACCGAUAAUUUGGACCCAAUUUGGCAAACUGUUGGAUGUGGUACCUGCAGCGCUGCUAAUGCUGAAACUGGUCUCACUUUAAAAGGAGUAUUUUUAGGUCAGAAUUCGUUUGUUUCUGGAGGAUAAUGAAUUUAAUAAAUAAGAUAGCCUACCUCUGGUAGAGUCUUAAUUUUUUUUGUUACUUAUCCUCCAGAUAUGUCUUGCCCCCUUCCUCCUUUGUCCCCCUGAUCUGGGAGUAUGGGCUUGUUGUGCUUUUUUAAAAAUUUAAAAACAAUUAAUUUACAAGCUAAUUUCAGCUGUAUUGUCACCAGCUCCUUGGUUUGAAAACAACUAAGGAAUGUUCCAGGGCAGAAUUUGUGUGUAAAGAAUGGGAAGGUCGGUUGACUGUGAUAUCCAAUUGUAAGGGGGCAUUGUCCCUGUGCUUUUAUUUUCCCCCCUCUAUUCAACUGGGCUUGUUCAUUGGUAUGUGAAGGAUACCUUCAUUUGAAGAAUGGAGAAGACCCUACUAGAGGGGUGGCUCACAGGAAAAAGAUGAAACAGCAUCUCCAGAACUUCUAUCAUCAGUGCAGAGUAAAAUAACUCAGGAUCUAAUGGCCAAAGUGAGAGCAAUGUUGGCUGCUUCGAAAGAUGUAUAAACCAAUAUUUCCUGGAGGAAAAACUAUCAGUGGGCCCUGCGGCAAGGCAAGGAUCCGUAGUGGCUUCUCACGAAGCUUCAGCUGCCUUGUUGCAAGAACUAAUUUAUUUAGACAAUUUGGGCAGUAUUCCACUUUGGCAUAAACUUUUGUAUGGCUCCUUUUGAUAAGUACAGUUUGAACCAAGAUCUUAUUCUGUUCUGUUGAUGUUUUGCAAUUUCCCUCUCCUGUUCCUGAACACAAUGAUAUGUGCUUUAAGGUGUCUGAAUUCCACCAUGUCUCUGAAAAUAUGGGGCUGCCCUUUGAGCAUUAAAAUCUAGCUGCCUAUGGUCACUUGUGACAACCAGAUAGGAGCUUAGCUUAUCCUUCUGUGAAGGAGUUCUACUAUUUGAUUUCUCAAAGAUGAGGUUACAUCCCAUUUUGUAAAUUUGAGGAGUUCUCUCGGCAUAAAUCUUGGAUAGCAGCUGUUUGGGGUUUUAGCCUUGGAGCAGUUUGUACAGACAAGUGCUACGAAGACCAGUGGAGGCACAGCAGAACAUACCAUCAGCAUUACUUAUGAUGUAUUGUGUAUCAACCAUUUUCUGAAAGCUUUGCAUUUAUUUAAAUUGCUACCUAUAAAUUUACUUUGAUUUCAUACCCUGAAAACUGCGAGUUGGCUCUGGUAACAUUUUCAACUACAGAUGCAAACUAUUGAAAUAUUAAAGAUAAUUUAUUUGUUUAGAAUAAUGGUUAAAGAUUUAUUUGUGGGAAAAUGGAGUGAAAAUGCUUGAAUGUUUCAUCAAUUUUGAAAGGUCAUUUUCAAGUUCCUGUUCAGCUGAUACUUUGUGUUUAAGAUUGGCUUUUCUAACAGAGUCACAGCUUAUUUCAUUGUCUUGCCGUUUUGAUGUCACUGGAGUUCACAGCCUCUGUGCACAGUUGCAGUGAUGUCAGCCCACACAAGAUUGGAGGGAAAUUAUGAUUUCUGACUAAAUAUGGAUAAAAUGAUUGCAUACCUAAUCAAGCCAAAAUCUCAAUCAAUAGGUUACUCAUUCUUGUAAAAAAAACAAUUAUUACGCCAGCUUAUUUGAACAGUGUUGAGUAUUAUCCAUUGUACUUGUGUUCACUAUCUGGCUGGCUGGAAACAUCUCUCCAUUGCCAGGCUUGGUUAAUUUUGUAGCCAGUCUUGGAACUGUGCUAGCUAAGGCAGCAAUGCAACCUUUUUUUUAAAGAAAAGCUAAGAUUUGGUUUAUUGUAAGCCACACUAUUUAGCUGGGGAGCUGGUUAAUGCUAGGCUCUGAGAAAUAUUAACCACAGACUAUCAUCUCUAAGAACACCCCAAUUUUAGUCACCUCUAGUUUGUUUUCCCUCCUGCCUCUGACAGCAAUUACUUAAUGCUGUUUAAAUCUGGGAGGAAGAAUCUAUGUUGAUUUUGCAAAACUUCUUUCUAAUCUACUGCCAUGAAUUUCAUUCUUAUUGUAGUCAAGUUCACUAUUGACGAUCUCCCCAGGUUUCAGAAGUGCCUCUGCUAUAUUAUUAGCUGCUUGCUGGAAGUGGCUAGAUGAUUGUUAUGUUUUUGACAACCUUUCUGAGGAAGAUUAAAGGACAAGUUCCCAUUUCAGUUACAACAGGUGAUGAGGCAAAGUUGAAACCCAGAGGUAAGAGAAACUAAAAUGUUAUGCCUUCUUUUUAUACAGGCAAGUGGAAAAUCUAAAAGAACAGAUCUAGAGUUUAUUCCCCAUAGCACUCCCAAGAUAAUCUUAAUGCACCUCAAAUCCAUUUCCUGAUGGAUAUUCCUACAUGUGCUCCUCCAUAGGCUGACUGCUGCAAUACACUGGUUGCUGUCUGAUAGAGUUUUGUUUCUAUUGUUAUAUAAAGAUGUAGAUUUAGUUGGGUUACCUUGGUAAAGGUGUCACACACCUGGCAAUUACAGGACCAUCUGUCCAGAGUAGGACGUGUACUUCAAGCAAUAAUCCUUAAUUGAAUUGAGACUAUUAUAAUUAGCACCUGUAGUCCAUGAGACCUAUUUGUCAGCUUGGUGGAGAAAGGUGGGCAGGGGGUGAUUUAUCAAUGACUUAAUGGAUAACUUCUUGAUGUUAGAUUCCAAAAAGUCCUGUUGUCACAGUUCAAGCUAAGUUUCAUUGGGUUAUCUAUGAAUGUGGAUAAUUCUUAAUGAAUUGUAUUUCAGUUAAAUGGAAGGGAAUAAACAUAUUAAAAGUGAUUACCUGGAGACACAUUUUUCUACUGGCAUGGCUCAGUGGCACAGCAGUUAGUGCUGUUGCCUCACAGCUCCUUGAAUCUGGGUUCGAUCCUGACCUCGGGAGCUGCUAGUGUAGAGUUUGCACAUUCUCUACACAAGUUUUCCCCCGGGUUCUCCAGUUUCAAAAGAUGUGCUAAAGGGAUAGUGAAUGUUUCAGGCUGAGACCCAGCAUCCCUCUGCCUCCACAGAUGCUGCUUAACCUGCUGAGUUCUUCCCGCAGUUUUUGUUUUGCUCUAGAUUCCAGCAUCUGCAGUCUUGGUGUCUCAAAAGACAUUAGUUGGCUACUUUAAAUUACCACAGUGUAGAUUAAUGGCAAAAAGGGAAAUUGAUAGGCAUGUGUGAGAGAGAGUAAGUUUCAUAGGUACUGGGAAAUAAGGACAGAACAGGACUUACAGGAUUGCUCCUUGGAGCUGGCAUGGACCUGAUAGGCUGAUUGACUUCCUUGUAUCAUUAUAGCAUAGAAGAUAAGGUACUGAAUGAGGUUCCAAAGCAGGAUUGCUCUGAUAGGAGAGGAGAUGGAACGCAAUUGGUGCUAGGCUUGGGCUUAAAGGGAUUUUUAACUUGAGAUAAGUAGGCCUUUUCCUGUUUAUGAAAGUGACUUAAAAGAUGAAUUGCAGACUAGACCUGGGUUCCCAACCUUUAGUCCCUGAAUAAAAUUUGAGAGCAAAUACAGAGUCAUUUCAAUUCGUGGCAGCAAAUUGUCUUCCAAAUGACUCAGUUUCAUUAAAACAUGAAUUAUUUUAAAAAGUAAAGGAUUUAUUUUUGAACUUGCAACUUAAGAUUUGUACAUUCAUUUAUUCAAAUACCUGUAAUGCAUAGUUAUUAAGCUUGAAGGGCCAGUGAAGUAUUUAUUGAUGAUUCCCUCCAUGCAUUUCUAUUUCUUAAGUAUUUUAAAGUAAAAAUUCUAUAAAUGAUCAUACCAGUGUUAGGAUGCAUUGUCUUCCAGCCUUUUUAGGUUUCACGUAUAUUUCUUCUUUAAUAUGGUGUAAGAAAAAAUAUCCCAAGGUGUUAUUUCCAAUUAAAGCAAAAGUGCAUUAGUUAAUGGAAAUACUUGUUGGAGGGAAAAGUUAAUGCUUCACAACUGGUGCUUUUGUACCUGUUGGUCUUGUAAGGGUAAAACAUUAUCCGAUCCCAGAUUUUAAUUGAAUCCAAACCAGGAUCACUUUAAAAGUCUUCUCAGUUGCUUUAUGACAACGAUUACUUUUUUAAAGUUUAUGUAUUUGAGCUUUUUCUGUUAUGACUUUUGCUGCUGAUCUCUUGAACAAGUUCUCCAGAGAAGUUGCAAAAACAGUUCAACUUUUGAUUAUAAAUUUCCCAGAAGCAAUCACACAUCCAAUAACUGAUUGGUAAUGGAAUUCCUUGAAGCGAUUUAGAUGGGGAGAAGUCCCAUGCCUGUGGGAUUCAUACAGCUAUAAUUUACAACUAUACUUAUUAAUAUACAUAAUGUCUGACACUUCCAAUGUGUUGUAAAAUAACUCUGGUACCAGUAUUACAGAGAGCACCUGGACACCAAAGCAAGCCAUAGCCUUUUCAAGGAGACAGGAGGGAUUAUGGGCAGAACCACACAGAGUGGGGGCAAUACUAAGUUACACUGGUAUGAAGUCAGUGAAAGGAAUAAAGGAAUUUACAAAUAAAUGCGCCUUAUUACAUCUCAAUUGUCCCAAAGCAUUUCAUGUGUUUUGAGAAGCAAAAAAACUGCAGAUGUUGGAAAUCUGAAAUAAAAACAGAAAAUGCUGAAGGUACUUAGCAUUGAUAUUAAAUCUGUUUCUCUCCACAGAUGCUGCCUGACCUGCUGAGUAUCUCCAGCAUUUUCUAUUUUUAUUUUGUGUAAAGCUCUAUCUGUUGUAUAUGCAAAUCCAGUAGCCUUUUAACCAAACAAUGACAUGAUUGGCAAGUUAAUCUGGUUCAUUGGGUUGCAUAUUGAAAAGAGGCUUGCACCUUUACCCCUUAUGCAGUGUUUUGUACUUGUCCUCGAACUACCUGUACCUAAGUCAUGUUUCCUAUAGUUCUGUUUGGUUUCAUUUCUUUCUUCCAUCGCAGACAAAUGCAAUAUGAAGUUUGGAGCCCUAUAAAAGAUGGGUGUGUUUAAAAAUUGUAAAUAAACUACUUUUAUUGACUAUCCAGAAGUGUAAUUGAAUCAAUUCAACUUUAAACUGUUUAAAUGUACAUUAAGUAGCUUUAUGAAUCUGAAUGAGACUUUUAAU
Pristis pectinata (smalltooth sawfish) is the source of this 10557-nucleotide RNA transcript. It is a transcript of the gene named splicing factor SWAP, with no coding region annotated. NCBI's taxonomy places the organism in Eukaryota, Metazoa, Chordata, Chondrichthyes, Rhinopristiformes, Pristidae. The transcript has 19 exons. The record is from RefSeq and is a predicted model, not a curated record.